RNAcentral lists this ribosomal RNA (253 nucleotides) under uncultured bacterium. RNAcentral describes it as "partial 16S ribosomal RNA". It matches the Rfam family "Bacterial small subunit ribosomal RNA", at positions 524 to 776 of the family's 1533-position model. The record is from RNAcentral.
GACGAACCUUGCUAACGUUAUUCGGAAUCACUGGGCUUAAAGGGUGCGUAGGCUGUGCAGAAAGUUGGGUGUGAAAUCCCUCGGCUUAACCGAGGAACUGCGCCCAAAACUACUGUGCUUGAGGGAGAUAGAGGUGAGCGGAACUGAGGGUGGAGCGGUGAAAUGCGUUGAUAUCCUCAGGAACACCCGUGGCGAAAGCGGCUCACUGGGUCUCUUCUGACGCUGAGGCACGAAAGCUAGGGGAGCAAACGGG